CAGACGGGUGAGUAACGCGUGGUCAACCUACCGUUGAGUGGGGGAGUAACUAGCCGAAAGGUUAGCUAAUACCGCAUACGUCUCCGAGGGGCAUCCCUUGGCGAUAAAGGAGCAAUCCGCUCGAUGACGGGACCGCGUCCCAUUAGCUAGAUGGUGGGGUAACGGCCUACCAUGGCACCGAUGGGUAGCUGGUUUGAGAGAGCGACCAGCCACACUGGGACUGAGAAACGGCCCAG
RNAcentral lists this ribosomal RNA (236 nucleotides) under uncultured bacterium. RNAcentral describes it as "partial 16S ribosomal RNA". It matches the Rfam family "Bacterial small subunit ribosomal RNA", at positions 99 to 334 of the family's 1533-position model. The record is from RNAcentral.